Molecule: long non-coding RNA, 1158 nt
Organism: Chionomys nivalis (European snow vole)
Lineage: Eukaryota; Metazoa; Chordata; Mammalia; Rodentia; Cricetidae
Exons: 3
Source: RefSeq, a predicted model, not a curated record
CGGGGGAUCCUUUAAUAAUAAGAGUAGAGAAGCCUGCGGGCGCGGGGGGAGUUGGCCUGAUGCCCCUAUGGGCUCGGCCUGCCGCCGCCGCGGGGCCUCCAACACUACGCGCCAGGCCGGGUUCCGGAAAGCGGGCGGCGCUGGCGGGGAGCACGGCAGAGAGCGGCCCUGACUGCGGGGUCGCGGCCGUGGGAAGUUGGUGCGGGAUGCAGCACGGCGCGCGCGAGACCCGGCUGGACUCUGCGCGCCCGAAAUCAGGACCAAGCUUGGCAUAGUGACAGAGUCCCAGCCUUCAUCACUGGCCUUUGUGCCCUUCCAGUAGAGCUGAACCCUGCAUGUGGGAUGCUAAUGGGGCUGUCACACGUGUGCAGAGAAUGAAGACAGCCACAGUAACAUGCUCAGCAUCAAGGACAUAUUAUGCAUCCACAGCCUUCAAGCACUAGGAGGACCCCACUCAGGACCCAUCAUUUCUUCAUGGGAUGGUGCAACUGACUGCCUGCUGGCAUCUUGCCUCCACCAGUGGCACACUGUCCACUCUGGUCCCAGGCUUCUCUGGAUGACUGAGGCUGUGUUCCCAUCCUUGUCAGCGCCCCGGGGCUCUCUCCAGUAAGUCCAGCUUACCGCAGCAGCAAGUUACCAGGGAACCUCUGCCAGGAACAGAAACUUCGAGGCUCAAAAAACUGGGUGACCUCAAGAAAUGAAGAGACAGCUGAACAGAGGACAUUCAUGAGCCUAAGUUCCAGCUGGGGUGGCUGACGGGAGGCUACUGACGUUUCCCCUGUGUCGGCACCCCAAUAAUGUAGCUCUCCAACUCCAAGUGGGAGGCUGGGAAUGUGGAUUGUUUGAUAGAGUUCCUGUCGGGCAUGCAAGGAGCCCUGGGUUCCAGUCUCAAGAUGGCAUAAACGGUGUGAUGGAGCAUGCCAGUAAUCCCAACACUGGGGAGGUAGAGGCUGGAGCAUAAAUUCAAGGUUAUCCUGGGCUACAUAGUGAACUUGGGGUCAGCCUGGGCUAUAUGAGACCUUUUCCUUAAUAAAAUGAAAUCCCAGUCAUGUGGAAAACCUGCUCCAAGCCUCUGCAUCUUACCUUCAUUGGUCCUCAGGAGCAGAGAGUGGGAUACCAUGCUAGUCACCUUUGCCUGCCUUUCCUUUAAGGGGGGGU